This 75-nucleotide transfer RNA is filed under the name Mycobacterium sp. Its description in RNAcentral is "tRNA-Val". It matches the Rfam family "tRNA". Rfam says of the family: Transfer RNA (tRNA) molecules are approximately 80 nucleotides in length. Their secondary structure includes four short double-helical elements and three loops (D, anti-codon, and T loops). The record is from RNAcentral. Lineage: Bacteria; Bacillati; Actinomycetota; Actinomycetes; Mycobacteriales; Mycobacteriaceae. RNAcentral also lists the same sequence under 10 other names.
GGGCGUGUAGCUCAGUGGUAGAGCUCUGGUUUUACACACCAGCGGUCGUGGGUUCGAUCCCCUCCGCGCCCACCA